ACUUAGGAAAGAUUCUUCGGAUGAUUUCCUAUUUGACUGAGCGGCGGACGGGUGAGUAACGCGUGGGUAACCUGCCUCAUACAGGGGGAUAACAGUUAGAAAUGACUGCUAAUACCGCAUAAGACCACAGCACCGCAUGGUGCAGGGGUAAAAACUCCGGUGGUAUGAGAUGGACCCGCGUCUGAUUAGUUAGUUGGUGGGGUAACGGCCUACCAAGGCGACGAUCAGUAGCCGACCUGAGAGGGUGACCGGCCACAUUGGGACUGAGACACGGCCCAAACUCC
Molecule: ribosomal RNA, 284 nt
Filed under: uncultured Lachnospiraceae bacterium
Lineage: Bacteria; Bacillati; Bacillota; Clostridia; Lachnospirales; Lachnospiraceae
Description: partial 16S ribosomal RNA
Rfam family: Bacterial small subunit ribosomal RNA (bases 46-284)
Source: RNAcentral